RNAcentral lists this ribosomal RNA (472 nucleotides) under uncultured bacterium. Its description in RNAcentral is "bacterial SSU rRNA". It matches the Rfam family "Bacterial small subunit ribosomal RNA", at positions 8 to 526 of the family's 1533-position model. The record is from RNAcentral.
AGAGUUUGAUCAUGGCUCAGAACGUACGCUGGCGGCACGCCUAACACAUGCAAGUCGAACGAAGUAGCAAUACUUAGUGGCGAACGGGUGAGUAUAAUGUGGGUAUCUGCCUUUUGGUUUGGAAUAACACGGGGAAACUUGUGCUAAUACUAGAUAAGCCUUUACAGGGAAAGCUUUAGCGCCGAAAGAUGAGCCCACACUUGAUUAGCUAGUUGGUAAGGUAAUGGCUUACCAAGGCUACGAUCAAUAGUUGAUCUGAGAGGAUGAUCAGCCACAUUGGGACUGAGACACGGCCCAAACUCCUACGGGAGGCAGCAGUGGGGAAUCUUGCACAAUGGGGGAAACCCUGAUGCAGCGAUGCCGCGUGAGUGAAGAAGGCCUUUGGGUUGUAAAGCUCUUUCGUCGGGGAAGAAAAUGACUGUACCCGAAUAAGAAGGUCCGGCUAACUUCGUGCCAGCAGCCGCGGUAAUUC